Molecule: ribosomal RNA, 492 nt
Filed under: uncultured bacterium
Lineage: Bacteria
Description: partial 16S ribosomal RNA
Rfam family: Bacterial small subunit ribosomal RNA
Source: RNAcentral
AGCGAACGCUGGCGGUAGGCCUAACACAUGCAAGUCGAACGGCGGAACAGUAAGUGCUUGCUCUGACGGGUGGCGAGUGGCGGACGGGAGAGGUAUACAUCGGACUCUACUUUUUCGUGGGGGAUAACGUAGGGAAACUUACGCUAGUACAGCAUACGACCUACGGGUGAAAGCAGGGGAUAUUCGGACCUUGCGCGGUUGAAUGAGCCGAUGUCGGGUUAGCUAGUUGGCGGGGUAAAGGCCCACCAAGGCGACGAUCCGGGGCUGGUCAGAGAGGGUGGUGUGCCACACUGGAACUGAGACACGGUCCAGACGCCUACGGGAGGCGGCAGAGGGGAAUAUGGGACGAUGGGGGGAAGCCUAUUCCAGCCAGAGCGCGUGGGUGAAGAAGGCCUUCGGGUUGUAAAGCCCCUGUGUUGGGAAAGAAAAGCAGCAUGUGAAGACCCCACGGGUAUGACGGGAGCCAAAGAAUAGGCACCGGCUAACUUCGUG